RNAcentral lists this ribosomal RNA (759 nucleotides) under Triticum aestivum (bread wheat). Its description in RNAcentral is "partial small subunit ribosomal RNA". Lineage: Eukaryota; Viridiplantae; Streptophyta; Magnoliopsida; Poales; Poaceae. The record is from RNAcentral.
AUGAGUGGUGAAGGGUACCAAGCCGUUAUCGGCGGCUUACUUGCUAGAAGGGGGUUGGUAUAUAGCCGUUUGCAGGUGAAGAACCAGAUAAUCGUACUCAAAAACACUUACACUUUCUGGCGAUACAUGCAAGUGCAUAUAGGGUUGGGGAGGAAACCAGAUGGAACCAUUGAUGCCGACUCUGAGUUCUGGAUAACACACACAGAGAAGAAACCAUACCUACGGAAGCUACAGUGGGGUCCUCCAGCAAACGAAGAGUUGCUUGAUCAACUGUUCAGAGGUUACACUGUGGAUGGAAGCACAGCCUUUGUGCCUGGAGAUGAUUACGGUCAGAAUCAAGGGCAAGAUUUAGGUGCAGGAGAGGAAGAGGAGGAGUUUCAAGGAACACCUACAAGCAACCAGAGGAGCCAGAGAUGCAAGAGGUCAACAAGCACUUCGAGCACUUUGACCAGUCCAUUGAAGAAGAGCAAGAGCCCAAUGGUGAAGAUUGUGAAGGACAUAGCUAGUACAUUCAAGGAGUCUGUCGCAGCCAACACUAAGCAAAUGCAGAAACGUGCAAAUGAGAAGGCUGCAUUUUCUGUGAAGAGGUGUGAGGGGCUAGCAUUUGAGUGUGGCAUUGAGCAAACAAUUGACUCUGUCUAUGCUCUGUCCAAGAUGUUCGAAACAGAGUAUCAAAGGGAGUUCUUCUGUGGCCUAUUAACACAUGAGCUUAGGUUGGGUUACUUCAAGAAAUGGUGCAGGGACAACAAUUUGGAGUAG